RNAcentral lists this ribosomal RNA (423 nucleotides) under uncultured bacterium. RNAcentral describes it as "bacterial SSU rRNA". It matches the Rfam family "Bacterial small subunit ribosomal RNA", at positions 355 to 776 of the family's 1533-position model. The record is from RNAcentral.
UAGGGAAUAUUGCGCAAUGGGCGAAAGCCUGACGCAGCAACGCCGCGUGAGUGAUGAAAUUCUUCGGAAUGUAAAACUCUGUCAGGAGGAAAGAAACUCUCGAUUUCUAUCGGGAUUGACGGUACCUCCAGAGGAAGCUCCGGCCAACUCCGUGCCAGCAGCCGCGGUAACACGGGGGGAGCAAGCGUUGUUCGGAAUUACUGGGCGUAAAGGGCGUGUAGGCGGAUGGAUAAGUCAGAUGUGAAAACCCAAAGCUCAACUCUGGGCCUGCAUUUGAUACUGUUCAUCUUGAGUAUGGGAGAGGAGAUCGGAAUUCCUGGUGUAGCGGUGAAAUGCGUAGAUAUCAGGAAGAACACCGGUGGCGAAGGCGGAUCUCUGGCCUAAUACUGACGCUGAGGCGCGAAAGCUGGGGGAGCAAACAGG